GUUGAACGCUGGCGGCAGGCUUAACACAUGCAAGUCGAGCGGAGAUGAGGUGCUUGCACCUUAUCUUAGCGGCGGACGGGUGAGUAAUGCUUAGGAAUCUGCCUAUUAGUGGGGGACAACAUUACGAAAGGAAUGCUAAUACCGCAUACGUCCUACGGGAGAAAGCAGGGGAUCUUCGGACCUUGCGCUAAUAGAUGAGCCUAAGUCGGAUUAGCUAGUUGGUGGGGUAAAGGCCUACCAAGGCGACGAUCUGUAGCGGGUCUGAGAGGAUGAUCCGCCACACUGGGACUGAGACACGGCCCAGACUCCUACGGGAGGCAGCAGUGGGGAAUAUUGGACAAUGGGGGAAACCCUGAUCCAGCCAUGCCGCGUGUGUGAAGAAGGCCUUAUGGUUGUAAAGCACUUUAAGCGAGGAGGAGGCUACUGAGACUAAUACUCUUGGAUAGUGGACGUUACUCGCAGAAUAAGCACCGGCUAACUCUGUGCCAGCCGCCGCGGUAA
This 501-nucleotide ribosomal RNA is filed under the name uncultured bacterium. Its description in RNAcentral is "partial 16S ribosomal RNA". It matches the Rfam family "Bacterial small subunit ribosomal RNA", at positions 28 to 523 of the family's 1533-position model. The record is from RNAcentral.